UGCUAAAAAUGUCAGUCUGAAUGUAACAUGUCUGUUGAUGGCACCCCUAUCACUCACAAUGCACUAAUUCUAAACUUGGAUAUAUCUACAAUGAAAAUGAUGAUCUUUCAUUUGAUACACAUACUAAACAUGUAUCUAGAGUAGUCUUCAUUUUACUUAAGAAAUAUUGCAAAACUUAGAUUAUGUUAGCAUUCCAUGAUGCUGAAUAACUUAUCUGUGCUUUUAUUACUUCUACAUGGAUCACUAUAAGGCUUUGUGGCUGAUAACAGACUUAAUUUAGUUCAAAAUACAGCGGCUGAAGAGCUUACAAGAGCCAGGAAAUAUGAACAGUAUAUAUCACCCCUGUUUUGCUUUCUUUACAUUUUCUUUCUGCAAAUUUUGUAUUUUGUAUUGAAUUAUUAGGUACUGGUGAUCACAUGUAUCACUUUGCAUAGUUAAGGAUCUCAAUAUUUGAGUUACCUUUUAAUUCCUUACAAUCACUCUUACAGGAAGUGGAAUAUCUUGUUGUCUCUAGAAUAAAAAAAGCUGUAGCUGGAAAUAAAACAGUAGUUUGUAAAGCACACUGUUUUAGGAACAACCCUGCCAAAGUGGUUUGAGAUUCUGACAGUCUGUCAGCCUUCAAAUCUAGGAUAAAAAUAUAUUUGCUUAGUCAGUCCAAUAAGUAAAAUUUACAAUGAAUCUGCAUUCCUAUUUGUCCUUUGUCUUUUCUUUUUAAACUUGCUAUGUUAUUUUUAAUUUGUGUAAAACAAAACAGACCAUUUUUUAUUUUGUUCAAUUAUAAUCUGGUACUGACACCAAGAUUUUUGUCUCCAGGUUUAUGGCCUGGAAAUAGUUAAAGCUGCUUUGUGACAAUACUAAUUGUAAAAUGCACAAAAUAAUUCAAAUUUGAUUGCUUGAUUAAAACAGUUAUUUAGUAUUGUGAGUGAUUACUGUAGAUACAGAAUUUAAACUUGCUAAAGCUAUCCUGCUUUUUUGUCAUUUUUAUAGAAACACAUAACUAUUCAAUUGGGAGAGUCAGUACCACUGCUGACUCAAUGCAACAGAUGUUGCACCUUGUUCCAUUGUCCUUUUGUAGUGGUAAUGUUUUUAAGCCCUCCAAACUGGAAAAAUUAAAAAAGCAUUUGAAGAGUCAUUUCAAGAAGGCAGUUCUCCAUGAAGUAACAUGACAAAACGAAUAUCUUCAGGCACAUGGAUACUAAUUAAAAACAAGAAUCUUCCACAGCAGUUGGUUGGGUCAGUGGAUUGUGGAGUAUUCAUGUUGAUGGACAAAGGCGUUCACUAAAGGGGCACUGGAGAGUGUGAAUGAGACCCAGAGCAGUGAGGAGGAACCACUAAUAAAAAGGGACCUCCACACUGCAGUAAAAUGGUUGCACCAACAUAGACAGUUGUUCAGA
Long non-coding RNA from Polypterus senegalus (gray bichir), 1394 nucleotides. RefSeq lists it as uncharacterized. Lineage: Eukaryota; Metazoa; Chordata; Cladistia; Polypteriformes; Polypteridae. The transcript is spliced from 5 exons. The record is from RefSeq and is a predicted model, not a curated record.